CUACGGGUUGCUGCAGUGAGGAAUAUUGGUCAAUGGACGCGAGUCUGAACCAGCCAAGUAGCGUGAAGGAUGACCGCCCUAUGGGUUGUAAACUUCUUUUAUAAAGGAAUAAAGUUGGCCACGCGUGGCCUUUUGCAUGUACUUUAUGAAUAAGGAUCGGCUAACUCCGUGCCAGCAGCCGCGGUAAUACGGAGGAUCCGAGCGUUAUCCGGAUUUAUUGGGUUUAAAGGGAGCGUAGUUGGGAGUUUAAGUCAGCUGUGAAAGUUCGGGGCUCAACCCCGGAAUUGCAUUUGAUACUGGACUUCUUGAGUGCGGUUGAGGCAGGCGGAAUUCGUGGUGUAGCGGUGAAAUGCUUAGAUAUCACGAAGAACCCCGAUUGCGAAGGCAGCCUGCUAAGCCGUAACUGACAUUGAGGCUCGAAAGUGUGGGUAUCAAACAGGAUUAGAUACCCCCGUAGUC
RNAcentral lists this ribosomal RNA (459 nucleotides) under uncultured bacterium. Its description in RNAcentral is "partial 16S ribosomal RNA". It matches the Rfam family "Bacterial small subunit ribosomal RNA", at positions 339 to 795 of the family's 1533-position model. The record is from RNAcentral.